CCGGUGCCGCAGGCUGCUGCGGGCGUCGCGGCCGGGGGCGGUGCCGCCGAGGGGCGGGCGGAGGGCGGGCCGGGGCGGGGCGCCGUCCUCUCGGCUCCGGGAGGCGGUGCGGGAGGGCGCUGGCCGCGUCCGCCCGCCGAGAGCCUCGGGUCGCGCAGCCUUCCUGAUGUGUCACCAGCACGUGGAGCCAGGAGUGCACUUGUGCACAGAAGGCUGCUGCCGGGCCUGGGAAGAUACUCAGUGAAUGGCAGUGUUGACACACUGCCCAGGAGGUCAAGCUUGGCUCUCGACAUGGGGAUGGUGCCUUCUGCCCUUGGUUCUACAAGGAUGACUUUUCCUGACAGUCUUCUCUGGCCUCCCAUCUGGCCAACUCCUGUUGGGAUGGUGGUUCUGAAUUGAAGAGCCUGCAAUCCUUGCCUCUUUUCCAGAAUUUCCCUGUGCUCCAGGCCCCUAAAGCCCAUGGCCAAGGGGUGGGGUUUUUCUAUAAGCCCAGACCCGGUAGCUCCAAGGCUCCUGCCAGGCCUGGGCCACAGUAACUCCUGCAGAGUGCCUCCCUCCCCUGCCAGCUACCUUGGGGUGGACACCCAGCGCUGGCAGGAAGGGCAUUCCAUUUGGCUCAACCCAUGAGGAAUCAAUUAGUGCUUGCUUUCUUUUGACUCUCCUAUCUAACACCAGAGCCUGUGACAUCACAGAAUAGCAGCCUUGGGCUUGAGUGAGGUGGGAUCCAUCCCUGGUGACAUGACUCUUGCAAAGUCUGGGUGUGGGAAAUGUGAUGGCCCAUUUUCCUGAUGAUACCUCUUUCUCCUACGCUGAAUCCCUGGGUUCAGGUGGGGCCAACUCCACCCACUGGCUUUAGAAGCAGACAUCUGAUCCGAGCCUGCACACAGGCUCCUGCAACUCCCCCAGCGACUUCUGCAACAAACAUGGGGAAAGAGCUUUCUCUUUCUGUGGGAGUUGCUAAGUCCACAGGAUAUAAGCUUGGAGCUGCUGAUGGCCAAUCUGUUAUCUAUUUGAGGAUGAAGCCAAUAAAGAGGAAGGAGAACUAAGAUGGAUAGAGUGUGCUGUCCAGACUUGCCACUUCCUGCCCAGUAAAUUCCCGAAUCCAACUCUGCCCCUGGACUACCCUGAUUAUAUGAGCCAGUGCUUUUUAAAUUAUUUUCUUUCUUUUAAAACCAGACUGAGGUGCGUUUCUAUCAUAGAAAGGUUUCGAAUACAGUAAGUGUUUUUAUGUGGUCUUUUUUUUUUUUAAAUCAGCUUUAUUGAGAUGUACUUCUCAUGCAGUCCACCCCUUUUAAGCAUACACAUCCUAAGUUUUAUCAAAUCCACACACCUUUGCAACCACCACAAUCAGAGGUGGAAUAUUUCUUUUUCUUCCCAAAAAAGUUCCAGCUCUCCCUUGAUGGUCCGUCCCUUCAGCCUCAGACAACCACUGAUCUGCUUUCUAGAGAUUGCUUUUGCCUCUUCUAGAAUUUCCUGUAAAGAUGAUCACAUGGUGAGCACUCUGUGUUUGGUUUCUUUUUCUCAGCAUGUUUUCGAGACUCAUCCUUGUUACAUGCAUCAGUAGACCAUUCCUUUUGUUGCUGGGGAAGAUUGCAUCGUGUGGAUGUGCAUCCGUUUGUUCAGCCACUUACCAGAUGAUGCAUAUUUGAGCUGUUUCUAGAUUUUGGCUGUUAUAAAUAAAGUUGUUUCGGACAUUGAUUUAUCAAUCUUUGGUUGUAUGUUUUGAUUUUUAUACAUCAGGCUAGUUUUCCAGUUGAGGCAACGAGUUCAGACAGGUAGGUUGACUUGUACAGCGCCCUAUGGCUGAUACUCCCAAAGCUGGCGCCGUGACGGGGAGGGAGCAGAAGGGAGGGAAUGAGGUGUUCCUUAACGAGGCUCAGGGCUGCUUGGGAAAGGAGCUGUUGGACACCUGGUGCCCAAUACCAUUGUUGCUGGGAGGAACUGUCAAGAUGAGCUGCAGCCUUGGUCCUCACCUCUCUAGACCAGUAUUACAGUGUAUUUGUUUUUCCCCAGGGAUUCCAAAGUUUGAAAGAUAAAGUGUAAAUAGGCUGCAUUCAUGAAGCCAGAAUCUAUUUCCCCAGCAUAUUCAAGAUGUAUCCAGAAUUGUCCAUCAGAGCUCACUGUGAGCUGCGAGCCAAAAGACUUGAGGCCAAGUCAUUCCAGAAAAAAACAAAGAAACCUUUUUUUUGGUGUGUGUGUAUGGGGGCGGGGAACCAGCACAUCACUGACUCUUCCCAGAAGUCUAGAGGACGUCAGGUUGGUUCUCCUGCUCAGUCCCUUGCUCAGAUGGUCCAGCCGGAUCUCCGGCAUGUUCUGUCUGCCUGGGUCAACCCUUGGAGGUCAUGGAGUGUGUGUGAUACCCAGUCCGUGAACCCAUUGAGUCAACUCCCUAAGGACAGAGGUAUCUGUGGACCUUCUGGUUUUGUGAGCCAAUAUUUUCUUUCUUUGAGCCAGAGAGACCUGGUACCACAGCUUUGUUGUGACAUCACCCUUCCAUACCCCUAAGUAACUCCAUGCAAAAUCAGCUGGUGACCAGCCCACUUUCCCUCCUGGGGCCAGAUACUGUACUACAUGCUUUAUGUGUAUUUUCUCAAAUCCUCUCAGCAACCCUAGAGAUAAUGUAUUCCCAGUUUACUCUAAGGGAAACUGAGGCACAGACACGUCACAGAGCUGGCAUGCAGGUGUGUCACAUACUUAUAUUUGGUGUGCCUCCUUGGAGCCUUUCAGCUCCCCCAUCCACCAGACUCUUGGGUACUUCCUGUGCUCUGGCCGAGGACUCCAAGGGGUCCCUGCUGCUUUUUCAGAGUCUCAAUCCCCACUAGCCAUCAGUGCAGAGUAUGGGAUUGGCUCUCAAAUAACUGCCAAAGGGGCUGGAGAAGGCAACCAGCUGUGUGGGGAACUUCAUUCUCUCGGGUGAAUUUUGAGCAAUGGGAGCUGGGAAGGUAAAUUCCUGUCCCUCUUCCUAGGUGUGGUUCUGUGUCACCUUGCAGAGCUUCCCGUCCUUCACCUCCUCACCUCUGUUCCCUUACCCUUGCCAAAGCCUCUGUUUUUAGGCAGUCUAACUCCAGAUCUGCACUAUAGUGCUUUAGCAAUCACUGAACCAGAGGAUGGAUGUGUAGGAAUGCAAAUAAAUGAAUGACCCUCUGAGUCACGUGCUGUUGAAAUGGGGAUGGAGAAGUUAAGGGGAGACAAAAGAUGGUACCAAGUUCAUCAGCCAUUAUUUACUUUUACCCCUCCCCCUCCAUUCAUGAGGUCUAGUCAAUCAAGUGUUCUCUGACCUUCCACUAACUCCUGUCUGGUACAAUGGAAUCGAUACUCCCCAAUGCUCCACACAUGAAGCAUGUGACACUGGCAAGAUAGCCUCUGUGAGCUGGUUUCCCCACCUGUAAACUGGGGAUAAAGAUGGUUUCACCACAUAGGAGUACUGGGAGGCUUAACUUAGUUUUGAGCAUAGCACAUGGACGAAGGGGGUGGUGUUGAGGCUGCCUGUCCAUCAUCACUUUUGCCAAAGACAGCCUGUUCUCUUGGAAGUCAUAAUUCUAAUCUUAGUCGCACUGGGUAGCUGGUGCUGUUCCCUCGUCCCAUCCUCAGGUCACCAUCAGAUCCAGGCUAACACCACACCCUGUGUUCUGACCACAAGAAUUGCCAGCAAUCUGGCCAUGGGACCUAAGUCCAUCCAGCUGUUGGAACAGUACCCCAAGGUUUUGCUGGAAUAAUCAGGAUGGAGGUGCUUGCUCUUUGCUGCGAUCAUGAGCUUGGAGCUACCAGGGGCCAGUUUUACUAUUUGGCCAUUUGAGAAUGAAGUCAGAACAAAGUGGAGCCAAAGAAUUGAGCAGGAUAACGGAGCCCCGAUGACGUCUUUGUACUGUAGUUCCUGGAUCCAGCUAUGCCAGAACCCAAUUAGCCCCUGUUAUAUUUAGGAGUGAAUACAUCCCUUAGCAUUUCCCUUUUUAUUGACUUACACCAGUUCAAGAUGAGUUCCUGUUAUUUAAAAUUGAAGUGGUCCUAAGAUAGUAGAGUCUUUAUAAACAAUUGCUGCUAUUCUUGCAAUUCAUUGUAGACACAUUACGGGUAGAUGUCUACAUGGAAAUGUACAGGCCAGGUUCCCCAGAGGCUGCUCUGCUCCUCAUAUGUGAGACCCUGGAUGAAGGUGGGAGGAAUGAGUAUUCGUCCAUAUGCUCCUGAUACAUUGCAGGUGUCUGGCAUCUGGCAUAUGGCAGAACAAUCACCCUAAAGAAGACAGAUCAUAAAAAGGGAAUGAAAGCCUAUGAUGAAUGAACAAGCUGUAUACACUUGCCAUUGUGAUCAGAGAAUAACACCGUCUGUGAGAAGUCCGACAACUGGAGAGGGGCCAGAGGACAGAAGAUGAGGAAAUAAAGUGAAGUUUCAUACACAGAGGGUCCAGGCAAAAAUCCUGAGCAAAGUAGAAACCAACUGUGGACAUUUCUGCAGAAAGGAGUCCUCACUUAGAGCUUCCAGGGAACCAGCAGGAAGUCUCAUCAAAUUGGGUUCACUUUCUAUAUUUAGAGCAUCAGAAGGCUGAACAUGUCAGACAGAGUUCAGGUAGGGGCACAUGUGGAGAUUUUUUUUUUUUGGUACCGGGGAUCGAUUUUGGUACCUGCACUUGUGAGGCAGGCAGCGGAACCACUGAGCUAAAUCCCCGGCCCAAUGUGGAGAUUUUUUAAAAAUUUGAUACAGUUCAGUUAUUUUCUAGAAGAACGGGGUGACUACUUCAAAUGGAAAACAUUGACUCAAGGCCCUAAAAGUUGACUGGGAAGACAGUAGCAGUGACGAUGGGAUACGAGAUGCCGCAGUAAUAAUAGGACCCCGGAUCUUGGCAGCUCCAAGCAGCAAGGCUCAGUUCUCACCUCUGCUCUUAGUCCCCUGCCUGGAGCAACUGGAGGCUCCACCCUGCAUCUGUCUCCUCUGGGACCCAGGCUGAGGGAGCAACCCUUAUGAGGGGGAGGAAGCAGUGUGGUGAGCCAUGGGUUGGCUCUGAAAGCGUCACCCACAAGUGACAAGGCAAGUCUUAUGGCCAAGGUUAACUUCAAAAAUGGUAGGCAGUACAACCCCACUCCCCAUGGGGAGGAUGAGGAGCCAGAAAUAUGUCGGGGUAGCACCACAGACUCCACAGCCCCAGGGCUGCCAGUAUCUCAUGCAGGGAAGUGCAGGCUCUGGGCAAGAAAGGACUGGGUAGAGACUCAGCACUUUGGCAUCUGACUGGGGUCUCAGGGUCGGGAGCAAGUCAGAGGCGCAGACCAGAGCAACUGGAGGCUGGGAAAAAAGCACCAGGGCAGCAGAAGCGGACGUCAUCUCCAGAACCCUAAAUAUUCAGUGAUUGAGGUGUUUAAAUACUUGGCAGUCUAAUCAUUUAAAUGGACUAGGACAACUACUUAAAGUGACAAUAUAAAUGAACAUUUGUUGGCAACAAGCUACACGCUGGGAGUGUCCAUUUGGGGAAGGGGCUGUCAGAUGUUGAAGCAGCACCUGGCAGAGAGGGGAUCCUGUGGUAUUUGCCUCGGUGCGGACAGGCAGGAGGUGUGCAGGUUGCAUGGUGCUGGUUGAGACCUCAAAAGGUUGACAGACCAUCUGGAGACAAACACAUUCCCAUGCCAAUGUGGCAACUGGGGCAACUGGCAUUUCCUCCAGAGCUACUGGUGUCAUUUGUGUGCAAAUAAUGUGAGAAAAUUUGACUCUCUGCCUGGCUUGCCAGGAGGCUCCUGGGCAGAGUUAGCUUGUGGUUGCCUGGACCUCGUGUGGGGCUGCAGUAGGAAGGACUCUCCAAGUAUGACUAUGGGAGCAUGCACGUUUUCCGGACGUGGCCAUUUUGUUUCUCAGCUCCUCAAAUUUCUACUCCUAAAGUGAAGCUGUACACUGUGAUUAAGAGCACAGACUGCUGGGGCUGGAAUCCGGGGCCCAUCGCUCUGAGGGACCUUAAGGGAGACUUGACCAUUCUGGCCUCAGGACCACUGUGUGUGAAAUAAUAUUUCAGAGACUUGUGUCCAUAUAUAAAUUAAAUACAAAGGGCUUAGGAAAGAGCAUUCGAUAAAUAUUAAACAUUUAAAACCCUAUACUACUGCCUCUGAAUUUCAGCAAAGAAUUUGUGAGCCAUUCAGAGUAUCUUUGUAGGCAAACGGAAAAACUGAGACAGGUGAAUAGUGUGGUAAAAUCCUGUGAAGUCUGGGUUGGCUGGACUCCUGACAAGGAGAGUCAUUAAGGAAUUAGUGUCACCUUUCAAAGCAGAACUCAAAAGCAAGACAUUGCAUAUAAAACAG
RNAcentral lists this long non-coding RNA (6275 nucleotides) under Heterocephalus glaber (naked mole-rat). RNAcentral's name for it is "lncRNA (ENSHGLG00100047544.1)". The record is from RNAcentral. Lineage: Eukaryota; Metazoa; Chordata; Mammalia; Rodentia; Bathyergidae.